ACUAGUUUCACAUACAAAAUUAUACAUACCUUCAAGCUAUGUGUGUAAGGUGUGGACCAAACAAAUGAAUUCUUGAGCCAGGAAGAAAAGCAUUAUGGACAUGGACAUUGCUGCUUAGCUGCCUUUGUCCUUUGAAAGCAGUCCAGCAACCAGCCCAUGGAAUGGUGCUGCCCACCUUGCAGAUGGCUUCGAGGGUCAAGUGCUUGCUUGAAGACCUGAGUUCAGAUCCUACAACCUACAAAAAACCAGACACGGUAAUGAGCAUCUGUAAUCCCAGUGUUCCCACAGCCAGAUGGAAGGCAGAGGCAGGAAAAUCCCCUGGAGCCAUCUGGCCAGCUAGCCUGCCAUGCACAGGUGUGAACAAGGGACCCUGUCUGAAACAAGGCAGUAGGUGAGGGCCCACAUCCAAGAUUGUCCUCAUUUAAACAAGAAUUAAA
Molecule: long non-coding RNA, 437 nt
Organism: Peromyscus eremicus (cactus mouse)
Lineage: Eukaryota; Metazoa; Chordata; Mammalia; Rodentia; Cricetidae
Exons: 3
Source: RefSeq, a predicted model, not a curated record